This is a long non-coding RNA of Mauremys mutica (yellowpond turtle), 4579 nucleotides long. RefSeq lists it as uncharacterized. The transcript has 3 exons. The record is from RefSeq and is a predicted model, not a curated record. Lineage: Eukaryota; Metazoa; Chordata; Testudines; Geoemydidae.
GAUGUACUCCAUUGCCUUAAUGAGCCCAUUAAGGAAACCUAGAAUAAGAGGUCUAUCUUCAGUCAAAAUCAGGAAAGAGAAAAGGUGAUCUCCCUUGAGAUGCUCUUGUGUAAAGCUAACAGACCUUUCUUAGCCUUUUGACUGUGAAGAUAACUUUGAAAACAGAAACCAAACAUCAGCCAAAACAGGCUUACCUUCCACAUCUGCAAGCAGCCUGAAAAAAAGCUCCGAGAAUGUUAUGAAUGAGUUCCAACAGCUUUGAAAGCAAGUACUAUGGAAGGAAAAACUGCAAAGAAAAAGAGGUUCCCCAUCUUUUCAGGAAAAGAAUAGCAAAAAGAGACAGGACCGGGAAUUAAGAACCACUAAACAAACAGCAGCUGUUGAACUUAUCUUAGCAGCAAGAUGUGUCUGCUACUGAGCUGAAGAAAUUGGAGCUGGUGGCCACGCUGUGCAUAGAUGAACUGAGAAAGGAUGAGAAUAUCCCUUCCAGAGCUCCCUUUUCUUCCUACUGAGCAUUCAGAGGACGGAGGAAACCUGAGACCCAACUGGGCACACCUGGAGUGGACUAAACGGAGGAAUACAGGUGGUGGUAUCCAAAGCACUGCUUAUAAAUCAGGCCCAGCUCUCUUCUGGCACCAAAACAAUGCACCACUCACCAUAGAUAUCACAGAUCUUCAUAAUUUGAUCCUCUCUCUUCUUCCUGACAAACCAGGACAAAAAAGUAAAAGUAUCAAUUUUUUCCAACCCCUAAAAAUAAUCUUUUAAAAAAGAUUUAGGUCAAUUGAAACUUUUUGUGAUCAUUUUGAUUUUCUUCCUCUUUAGCUUUUUUUUAGGCAAAAUUUUCUAAAAUGUUGAAACAGUUAUUUUGACUUGAAAAAUUGAAACUUUCCAGUUUGAAAAUGUCACAACCGGAUCUUGAUAUCAAUUUUAAACUAUCUUUUUUUCCAAAAUAUUUCAGGGCAGGAGAUUGGACAAAACUGCCUCUGUUUCAUGAAUAGUUUUGGUUUAGAUUAAUCAGCAAAAAAAAGUUUGUAAAAUUUCUAACCAGCUCUAUUCACAAUCAACAUGGAUUCAGGCACUCCACUUUGAAAUGUUGGCCUUUGUAUGUACUAUGAGCCCAGGGCCGCAGGUGAUGUAAAUUGGCAUAGCUUUGUAGUUGAGAAUUGAGUCCUGUACAUUUGAGAGUUUUCCAUUUGUUGUAAGUUACUGGGGCGGGGGGGAGAACUUCUAUAUUAAUUGAAUCAAAAAAUCUAUGUUCAAGAACAUUAAAGUUGCAAAGCCAAGCACUCAAGAGACACAAAAUGCCAGAAAUAAGGUUGCCCAUGAAACCUUAGUUCAGCCCUUUGGUACGUACCUAUUAUGAUACAGUCUUAUUACAGGAUCACAUUCUACUUUUUGCACAGACCCCCUGCCUCAAAAUAUGCUACUGGAUGUUAUAAAAACCUGUAAAUGAAAUAGAACUAGAAUAAUCUCUGGAUCAGUGGUGGGCAACCUGCGGCCCAUUGGCCGCACAUGGCCUGUCAGGGGAAUCCACUGGUGGGCCGCAAGCCUGUUUGUUUACACUGACCAUCUGCAGGCACGGCCGCCCGCAGCUCCCAGUGGCCGUGGAUUACUCUGACUGGCCGCAGGUCGCCCAGCACUGCUCUAGAUAUUGACCCUAGCAGUUGAGUAUUUGAGCAGGUAACCUAACAAAAUUUAAUCCUUUUGUAACUGGUGAAGUUGGUUAUUUAAAUUGGAUUUUUUUCUGUUUGUUUCAACAGUCAUUAACGAGCAUUAUUUUAAUUAUAUUUUUGUAUUAGGGUUUUCCCCUGUGGUAUCCACAUUCUUCUGUUCCCAUAAUGCUGAAUGGUUCUUACAUGCUUCAUUCAAUGCAGAGAUGCCCAUGUACAAUUGUGCAACUCCUUUGCACCACACCAGUGGCACAAAGCAGCCAAAAAGCUGGUGGCUCACCCCAGCGUAGAAACAAAAUUCAAUGACCUAUAGUAAGCAUAAUGUAGCUCUUAGGCCAACCAUAUCUAGUCUGAGGCCAGAGCCAGGAAAAAAGAGUGCAGCUGGGUGUUUUUAUGAGCCACCAGUCUAUCAUGUUGACCUCUUGGGGUUACUGUCAGCUGAAGUAAUUCAGAAUAGCUUCACCAGGUUUUGGCUGGUAAUAGAGCCACCAUUGUACUAUGCCCUCCCUGAACUGUGAACUCCUUACCCAUAGCUGUGGAUUUAUGCAAGUACGUUAUUUUACUGGAAUGCCUUGUGUUUCUCAGUGCUUUGUGUAUUGCAUGUUUUUUAUGAAUCAUUCUACUGAUCUUUGCAAAAACUGCUUAAGGCAUAAUUUUUUUUUAAAAAAUUGAAGACUCCUGAUUAAAAAUCAGCAUAUAGAAAUAUCAAGCCCUAAGCGACAUGUUCCAGGUCCCACAGGAAGUCAAUGGUAGAGUUAGGAACUGAACCUACAUCUCCUGAUACACAGUCCUGUGCCGUAACCACAAGUCCUUCCUUCCACUUCAUAAGUUGGCUAUUUACACGUCAAAUCUCUCUAAUUUACAAAGCUCUGGUGGCUAUCCAUCAUCAUGGUAACAGCACUCAGGGUAAGGUAACUAUUUUUAUUUUUCUUUCAUAAUUAAAAUUUUUAAAUAGAAUGCUUUUUUUAAAUUAUAGAAGUGUUACUUUGGACAUAUAAAACUGUGUCCAAAAUAAACACGGUGCUAUUGUAAGUCCUCGAAACACCUGAGAAGUGUGUACAAUGGAAAAUGUAUUCACUUCCUAAUUGGGAGAUAGAAGGCACUUAUGAUUAGUUGUCUGUCGGUUUUAAAAUUUGGAGUGUUUGAAGAUUCAAAGAGCUACACUGUGGUUUUUUGUUUGUGGGGUUUUUGUUUUGUUUUGUUUUUUAAAUCAUGGGAUGGGCAGGCGUUUCUUUAAAUCUCACUAACUGCCAUUUUAAGUGAAGUUACCUUCAGCAUGUCAGUACUAUGAGUUGUGGCCAAUAAUAAUUCCAUCGUGUCCAAAUUCUUAAUAUGUCAAAUGCAAGAUUUACAACCUCUUGCUUCUUUUUACAAUAAAAUCCACAGUAUAUGUGUCAGCAAGUCUGAUGCAAGAGUCUAGGAAUCCUGAUUUAAUUUCUCCUCCUUUAAAUUUUGUGUUGAAACAUUCUGUAGUUUGACCUAUGGAUAAAGAGGAAAAAAAUGUGCAUUUUUUGGUAUGGAUGCUCCAUAUUGAGAAGGGGCAAACUGCAUAGAAGUGACUCAGAAAGCCGAAUAGCCAAGAUCAGUGUGGUCAGGGGAUAGACUUGUGAAGAAAAGAUGCUCUGUUUGCUCACUGGGAACAUUAACUUUACACUAUUAGAUAGGACCGUGCCUGUGUUGCAGGAUUUUUCUCUAGCAGAGCACAGUAUGUACUGAAAAUUUCUCUGAGCUUGCAGUAAGUGAAUGAAAGGGAAACUGUUCCCAGAAAAGACAAAGUCGUUCAAUCAGACUCAAAGCAACUCGAUCCGAAGACCACCCCAGAGGCACUUCCAUCGCUGUCAACCACAGACACAGCCAAGGAACCAGCUUGUGCCAAAUGACCUGAAUAUAAUCAUUCCAUUGUUUGACUUCCUCUUGGAAGUGGUGGUUUCCAAUUAUCUCCUACACGUGAUUCUGGAAGCUGAUUUGCAGUUGGCUGUGAAAGGAAUGUGAACUCAGAGGAAGGUUGCAGUUUCAGUCCCCACUGGUGUUCACCUAUUGUUACACUAUGUAUUUUUGUCUACAUUUCCUGCAUGUACUAAAUAACAAAUCACUAUAUUAGUAUUGAUUAACCUUAAAAAGACAAGUUAGAUAUUUUAGAGGCAUCAACCAUACAAUAUAACAUAGAAAGAUAGAUCCACUGAAUGGUGUAAUGAACAUUGUGCACACAACUGUAAAUAUGAACGCUUUAAACCAAAAUUCACAAAAGAGAAAAGGGACCUAACAGCAAAGAGGUCAGCUGGGGUGAAAUAACUAAUUAACAACCUCUUCAUGUCUUGAGGGAGCAGAGAUCAUGUCUCAUGUGUCACUAUGGAAAGUUACCUGUUGCUGACUACAGGUGUAAUAAGUGGGUGCAACUGAAUCAGUGCUGAACAUGUUUUAACUAAAUACAGACUGUUCAGAGGCCAGGGGGUGGUGCUGAACACAGUUUAUCCGUGGCUAUUUAUGUAGUCAAACAGUUUUCAGCAAUCAGUUCAGCUGUCCCUAUGACUGACGCUCUGCUUUCAGCAAUGCAUGAUUUUCAUAAUAGAGACAAACCUUGUCUGCAAGGCACCAGGUGCAUCAAUGAUGCUGGGCACCAGUGUGUCUUGAAAUAUUUAUUCUGCUUUCAGGGCUCUUACCAGCACAAGAAGUGCAGGGAACCUCACUUGAAACUGUAGAAUCUUUCAAAAUGGAAAAGCUAUUUAAUUGUCAUGCCUGUAUAAUUAAAACUAAUUUAAUAAUGCUGCUGCCACAAUAGGAACACAAAUCGCUUCAUAUAUGUCAGUAAUCACUGAAAGCAUUAGGUUAAUUGCAUGGUUUUCAGUCUCCCUGCUCUGAAGGAAUCUCAACUAAUGAUACCUCCUUUGUGCUUCAAAUUGUUUAUUUUU